GACGAACGCUGGCGGCGUGCCUAAUACAUGCAAGUUGAGCGCUGAAGGUUGGUACUUGUACCAACUGGAUGAGCAGCGAACGGGUGAGUAACGCGUGGGGAAUCUGCCUUUGAGCGGGGGACAACAUUUGGAAACGAAUGCUAAUACCGCAUAAAAACUUUAAACACAAGUUUUAAGUUUGAAAGAUGCAAUUGCAUCACUCAAAGAUGAUCCCGCGUUGUAUUAGCUAGUUGGUGAGGUAAAGGCUCACCAAGGCGAUGAUACAUAGCCGACCUGAGAGGGUGAUCGGCCGCAUUGGGACUGAGACACGGCCCAAACUCCUACGGGAGGCAGCAGUAGGGAAUCUUCGGCAAUGGACGAAAGUCUGACCGAGCAACGCCGCGUGAGUGAAGAAGGUUUUCGGAUCGUAAAACUCGGUUGGUAGAGAAGAACGUUGGUGAGAGUGGAAAGCUCAUCAAGUGACGGUAACUACCCAGAAAGGGACGGCUAACUACGUG
This 497-nucleotide ribosomal RNA is filed under the name uncultured bacterium. RNAcentral's name for it is "partial 16S ribosomal RNA". It matches the Rfam family "Bacterial small subunit ribosomal RNA", at positions 28 to 507 of the family's 1533-position model. The record is from RNAcentral.